UGGCUUGGAGCUUGUUAGAAAUAAAGCAGCGGAUUAGGACCAAAGGUGGCAGGUCCCCUGGUGAUGGACUGUGGCAGAUGGGAAACAGAGACUUGUAGAUGUGACUGAUAGUGAAAGUUUUAUAGAGGGGAAGUCCCUGCCCUGGCAUACAUCUGCAACACAAGCAUGUGCAACUUGAACUCACACGUGGGAGUGUUUCACUUCAACUCAUUAAGCUUGCAAGCCAAGGCUCGCUCGGCUUUCCGACGGAUCUGCGUGGGUGGCUAACAGAGUGUGAUCUCAGAGCUGGCUGUUUGACGCUGUUAAGGUUCCACCUGCCAACGCUGUCUGAGAGUACUGAAGCUUUCCCUUUGAGCAGGAUAGAAAGCCCGUGGCUUCCUGUUUGCACGGAAACGAAUCAAACACCCAGCAAAUCAAGGCAGAGCUGGAUUUCUCCUGUCAAUGACCAAUGCAUCACAUAAAUGCUUCACUCCAGCGCUGGUCUUUUGUGGCUGUUCUUCAAACGGACUUGAUGCUAUGCCCUUUGGAAAGGGUGGAAUUCAUCAAUACUAACUCUAGGAAAUAUACCAAGACAACGGCAAACCAGUUCAGAGCGGCAACACUGUCUUACGUGGAGCUCAGGACAUGUGUGUGAAACUUACUAAAUGUCCAGUGAACCAUGAGUAUCCCAGGUGUAUGUAUACCGUAACUCUUUAAAAGAUUCACCUACUUCUGUUCUUUCCCACUGUUCUUCUGGAGGGCAGACAGGACCUUUUCUGUCCGUCCAUCACCCCGACUACUCUAUCUCUGUGUCUCUUAUUUUCUUACCUUCCCCUCAAUAAACACUCAGUACUAUAGAAGAUGUUCUCGCUCGAUGGCAGGAUGAGGUAUCUUCUAACUGUAAAGCCCAGGUGGGGAGAAAUGGAACCCCAAGCAUUUCUUGGAACAGCCUUACGCUAAUCGACUUUGUCAGCAGCACACUCUCCCUUUGAGCUUGGAGACUCAUGCACAUACACACAGGGAAUAUAGUUUCAAUGUAAGGACUAGUGAGAGAAGCACCAUUUGCCUUAUGCUCCUGUCUCCCCCACAGGCAGUAGGGUAAGGUAGGUAUGUUUACUCUGCAGUUUCUUGGGUUUACAAACAUCUACGCUCACAAUGAAAAUAGUUUUAUUUUUAUUAUUGUAACCAGCAUCUUACAAAGCGUUUUAAAGUUUAUCCUAUUUACAUUUACAUUAUGCAGAAUUUCAAUCACCCACAGUUAACAUGCUAAAAUUUCCUCUUUACUUUUUAUGUGUAUGAGUGUUUUGUCUUUUCCUUGCACAUGCAUGUGUACCACGUGUGGUCAGAAGGCACUACAUCAGAUCCUUUGGAAUUGGGGUUAUGGAUAGUCAUGAAUCACUACAGGUGCUGGGAGCCAAACCUAGGCUCUUAACAAUGUUCUGAAACAGGAUCAUUCCACUUAAGCACAGGAAAUUCUGUCAGUUCACAACAACAUACCACCUUCUUUUAAACUGCUGUAGACAUUCCAUUACAUAGACUAGUGACUUAACCUUCCCUGUUAACGGGCAUUUGUUUCACUCCAUUUAAUUUUGAAAAAAGUCAGUUUGACCAGAGCCUUGUGGUAUAGGCCUACAAUCCUGGCUGCUCAGGAGGCUGAAGUAAGAGGCUCUAAAGCUCAAGACCUGUCGGGAUACUGGGGGCUCUGUAGUAUGACCAGUGUGUACAGGCCCGAGGCUAACUCCCCAGUGUCUCUUUCUCUCCACACAAAUUAAACCAAGUAGGCUGAAAACAUGUUCCUCUCUCCCUUUAAAACUAUCUAUUGGCAGGGUCUUGCUAUGUGGCCUGGGCUGGAAAUUCAGUCCUCUGCUGGGAUUACAGGCAUAUGCUACCACACCAGACAAGACUUAUCUGUAGUAAGGCACUUUUAGACACACAGAUGAAAUUUCAUAUGUAUCAUAUAAUCACAAUCAGCAAUUUCACUGCCCAAAGCAACUCCCAAGUAUACCCCAUACAAACACUGGCCUACUCCCCAGCCUGUUAUAGAUGCUACCCGGAAGCACACAGUAGGUAGCCACAUCAAAUGUACCAGACCUCUAUCCAACUGUAUGUAUCAGGAGUCCUUUAUCGUCACUAUGGGAAGAAGUCCACUGCAUGAUGGGAAGCUCCACUGCAGGACUAUACCGCAGUUUGAUCUACUGUCUGGGGCACAUCUGAGUGGUUUCCAGGUCUUGGUGAUUCAAACUAAAGCUACAGUGCAUCCUCAUCUCCUAGUGGCAGGACUGUGGGGUUGCAUGUUUAACUCUGUAAGAAGUUGCGUCAUUCUGCAGGUCCAUGGACAGUGUCUGUGAGUUCUGGCAGCUCUCCUCGUUCAUUAUUCCUGAUACUGCUGGGUUUCUACAGUGGCUUUACCUACCCAACAGGCAUGCAGCGUGCUUUUGUGGUCUUAAUUUUGUUUCUUUAGUUACCACUGGUUGUUGGGCAUGUUUUCAUGUGCUAUACGGAUCCAACCUUUCAAGAAAUGUGUUUACAUUUACUGUCCAGUUUAAAUUACAUAGUCUGUUUUGUUACUGGUUCUCAGAGAUCCUUUUGUAGUUUUGAUUCCAAUUUGUUUUUUGUAUGAAUACAUUGGUAAAACUUGUUAACUGUAAGAGUCUCCGUUUAGCAUCAGGGUGGAAAGAGCAGUAUGUACUUUUGGAGUUCCUGACACUGUGCUCUCUCUUUGGAUACAUCCAACAGCUGCCUUUGAACACCCAGCAGUGAGUGUUGACUAAUGAAUGUCACAGCGGUGUCCUGGGGAUGGCAUCACUGGUGGGCUACAAGGAUGUCAAGGUAGACAGCAGCCUGUCCUGAAGAACCUGUAUGGUGACCUGCUGCUGUUCUGUCUUCCGUGUCCUCUUGGAACCCACCUUUCCUCUUUCCAUCCAGUUGACAAAGGCUCCUUAGGAGUGUACCUGGCAGGACCGGAAGGAAGGGCUCUGCUCACCCGGCUCCCGUGGCUACUGGAUCCCGACUGUGUUACUUCCUCACGGCUGUGCCGUCUCUGGCUGCUCCAGACUAUUCACGGGAAGUCAAGCCAGGCCUCCGAGUAGCCAUCUCACUGACUGGAUAAAAGGUAAAGCAGCUAACAGGCUGUCUGAUACAGAAUGACUGAGAUGGUUAGACUUAAGAGACCCGUCCAGUACAAUUCCCAACUCGGUGUUCCAGUAAUGAGAUUGUGGUAUUACCGACACCCACAAAGGCAAACUGAGCAGAGGAGGCACCCUUGUGUUUCAGGGAAGUAGCAAAGAGCAAAAACGACAAGUUCUGUGGGAAGGUACAUACUGUACAAUUUACCCAGCACACUAAGUUCUGCAGCGACCGCGCUGCCACCAUGGGCUUCUGGACACUUGGCUUUUGCUAUCCAGAGGUGGUGGGGGUGGAAGCUGCAAUGACUGUGAUCAAUGAAUACAUGUAGGAAAUUGGUAAAGGACAAUAAAAGAUUAAAGAAGCAGAGACAAA
Long non-coding RNA from Mesocricetus auratus (golden hamster), 3477 nucleotides. RefSeq lists it as uncharacterized. The transcript has 3 exons. NCBI's taxonomy places the organism in Eukaryota, Metazoa, Chordata, Mammalia, Rodentia, Cricetidae. The record is from RefSeq and is a predicted model, not a curated record.